Suricata suricatta (meerkat) is the source of this 107-nucleotide small nuclear RNA. Lineage: Eukaryota; Metazoa; Chordata; Mammalia; Carnivora; Herpestidae. The record is from Ensembl.
AUGCUCACCUUGGCAGCACAUAUACUAAAACCGAAAUGAUACAGAGAAGAUUAGCAUGGCCCCUACAAAAGGAGGACAUGCAAAUUUGCAAAACAUUCCAUGUAAAA